Molecule: transfer RNA, 76 nt
Filed under: Clostridium sp.
Lineage: Bacteria; Bacillati; Bacillota; Clostridia; Eubacteriales; Clostridiaceae
Also listed under: 38 other names
Description: tRNA-Gln
Rfam family: tRNA
About the family: Transfer RNA (tRNA) molecules are approximately 80 nucleotides in length.
Source: RNAcentral
UGGGCUAUCGCCAAAUGGUAAGGCAACGGACUCUGACUCCGUCAUUUUCAAGGUUCGAAUCCUUGUAGCCCAGCUA